UACAGAGGAACCAAGCGUUGUCCGGAUUGACUGGGCGUAAAGCGCACGCAGGCGGAUGCGCGCGUGGGGUGUGAAAUCUGGCCGCUUAACGGCCAGGCGCCAUCCCAUACGGCGCGUCUGGAGUGAUGCAGAGGUCGAUGGAAUUGCCGGUGUAGUGGUGAAAUGCGUAGAGAUCGGCAGGAACACCCAGGGGGAAACCAGUCGACUGGGCAUCUACUGACGCUGAGGUGCGAGAGCGUGGGGAGCGAACCGG
RNAcentral lists this ribosomal RNA (253 nucleotides) under uncultured bacterium. RNAcentral's name for it is "partial 16S ribosomal RNA". It matches the Rfam family "Bacterial small subunit ribosomal RNA", at positions 524 to 776 of the family's 1533-position model. The record is from RNAcentral.